UCGUAGUUGGAUUUCUGGCGUGGUGCGUCUGGUCGCGCGGGGGGCAACCCCUGUGAGUAGUACCGGGAAGCGCGCCUGCCAUCAGGCGGGUUUUUGUGUUGUUCGCAAGAAUAGCAUGGAAAGAAGCGGGCAGGCCAGGUUCCGUGGCUCUCCGGAGCGGCGGCGUGGUGGCUCGUGUUUCCGCCCAUUUACUUUGAGCAAAUUAGAGUGUUCCAAGCAGGCUGGUUUUUUUUGGCUGUGAAUACAUGAGCAUGGAAUAAUAAGAUAGGACUCGGGUUCUAUUUUGUUGGUUUCCAGGAUCUGAGUAAUGAUCGAUAGGGACAGUUGGGGGUGCUAGAAUUCAACGGCCAGAGGUGAAAUUCUUGGAUUCGUUGAAGACUAACUUAUGCGAAAGCAUUCACCAAGGAUGUCUUCUUUAAUCAAGAACGAAAGUUGGGGGAUCGAAGACGAUCAGAUACCGUCGUAGUCUCAACUAUAAACGAUGCCAACUAGGGAUAUGUGGACGUUUGUUCGAAGACUCCAUAUGCACCUGACGAGAAAUCCAAGUUUUUGGGUUCUGGGGGGAGUAUGGUCGCAAGGCUGAAACUUAAAGGAAUUGACGGAAGGGCACACCAGGAGUGGAGCCUGCGGCUCAAUUUGACCCAACACGGGGAAACUUACCAGGUCCAGACAAUAAGAGGAUUGACAGAUUGAAGAUCUUUCUUGAUUUAUUGAGUGGUGGUGCAUGGCCGUUCUUAGCUGGUGGAGUGAUUUGUCUGGUUUAUUCCGUUAACGAACGAGACCUCGACCUGUUAACUAGUCCGGCGCAGCCUGCAAGGGUUGCGUUCUUUGGUCAAACGAAGAAAGUGGGCUUCUUAAAGGGACUCUCGGUGCGUAGCCGAUGGAAGUUCGAGGCAAUAACAGGUCUGUGAUGCCCUUAGAUGUUCUGGGCCGCACGCGCGCUACACUGUUGUGUUCACUGAGCUUUUUAUUGAAACAAGCCUUGGCCGACAGGCCCGGGGAAUCUGUGAAACCACAACGUGAUGGGGAUAGAUUAUUGCAAUUAUUAAUCUUCAACGAGGAAUUCCUAGUAAACGCGGGUCAUCAGCUCGCAUUGACUACGUCCCCGCCCUUUGUACACACCGCCCGUCGCUACUACCGAUUGAAUGACUUAGUGAGUUGCGCGGAUUGUGUUUGGCUCGCGAGGGUCGAAUGUAAAGAAGCGCCGCAAACUUGGCCAUUUAGAGGAAGUAAAAGUCGUA
RNAcentral lists this ribosomal RNA (1241 nucleotides) under metagenome. RNAcentral's name for it is "SSU rRNA". It matches the Rfam family "Eukaryotic small subunit ribosomal RNA", at positions 628 to 1793 of the family's 1831-position model. The record is from RNAcentral.